Molecule: non-coding RNA, 73 nt
Organism: Daphnia pulex (common water flea)
Lineage: Eukaryota; Metazoa; Arthropoda; Branchiopoda; Diplostraca; Daphniidae
Source: Rfam
GGGGAUGUAGCUCAGAUGGUAGAGCGCUCGCUUAGCAUGCGAGAAGUACGGGGAUCGACACCCUGCAUCUCCA